GGCAGCGUGGCCUAGUGGUUAGGGCGCCGGACUAGGAAAUCCGGCGGUCGCGGGUUCAAGUCCCGCUCUGACCA
Molecule: non-coding RNA, 74 nt
Organism: Orbicella faveolata
Lineage: Eukaryota; Metazoa; Cnidaria; Anthozoa; Scleractinia; Merulinidae
Source: the annotation of a RefSeq genome assembly